CUGGACUAGAAUGUGAGGGAAGGACGUCUAAUAGCGUCCGUCCGAGCAAUCGGACCCGAAACAAGGUGCUGCAUGGCUGUCGUCAGCUCGUGUCGUGAGAUGUUGGGUUAUGUCCCGCAACGAGCGCAACCCUUAUUGACAGUUGCCAAUAUUAAGUUGGGAACUCUGUCAAGACUGCCGUUGAUAAACGGAGGAAGGUGGGGACGAUGUCAAGUCAUCAUGGCCUUUAUGUUCAGGGCUACACACGUGCUACAAUGGAUGGUACAAAACGUCGCAAUCCCGUAAGGGGGAGCUAAUCGCAAAAACCAUUCUCAGUUCGGAUCGGAGUCUGCAACUCGACUCCGUGAAGUUGGAAUCGCUAGUAAUCGCAAAUCAGCAUGUUGCGGUGAAUACGUUCCC
RNAcentral lists this ribosomal RNA (399 nucleotides) under uncultured bacterium. RNAcentral describes it as "bacterial SSU rRNA". It matches the Rfam family "Bacterial small subunit ribosomal RNA", at positions 975 to 1375 of the family's 1533-position model. The record is from RNAcentral.